GACGAACCGUGCGAACGUUGUUCGGAAUCACUGGGCUUAAAGGGCGCGUAGGCGGGUCCCCAAGUUCGGGGUGAAAUCUUUCGGCUUAACCGGAAAACAGCCUUGAAUACUGGGAGUCUCGAGCGAGGUAUGGGCAGCUGGAACUUCCGGUGGAGCGGUGAAAUGCGUUGAUAUCAGGAGGAACACCGGUGGCGAAGGCGGCAUCCUGGACCAACACUGACGCUGAGGAGCGAAAGCCAGGGGAGCAAACGGG
This 253-nucleotide ribosomal RNA is filed under the name uncultured bacterium. RNAcentral's name for it is "partial 16S ribosomal RNA". It matches the Rfam family "Bacterial small subunit ribosomal RNA", at positions 524 to 776 of the family's 1533-position model. The record is from RNAcentral.